AUUGAACGCUGGCGGCAUGCUUUACACAUGCAAGUCGAACGGCAGCGGGGUAGUGCUUGCACUACUGCCGGCGAGUGGCGAACGGGUGAGUAAUAUAUCGGAACGUACCGAGUAAUGGGGGAUAACCAAUCGAAAGAUUGGCUAAUACCGCAUACGUCCUAAGGGAGAAAGCGGGGGAUCGCAAGACCUCGCGUUAUUCGAGCGGCCGAUAACUGAUUAGCUAGUUGGUGGGGUAAAGGCCUACCAAGGCGACGAUCAGUAGCGGGUCUGAGAGGACGAUCCGCCACACUGGGACUGAGACACGGCCCAGACUCCUACGGGAGGCAGCAGUGGGGAAUUUUGGACAAUGGGGGCAACCCUGAUCCAGCCAUGCCGCGUGUAUGAAGAAGGCCUUCGGGUUGUAAAGUACUUUUGUUAGGGAAGAAAAGGGAAGUGCUAAUACCACUUUUUGCUGACGGUACCUAAAGAAUAAGCACCGGCUAACUACGUGCCAGCAGCCGCGGUAAUACGUAGGGUGCGAGCGUUAAUCGGAAUUACUGGGCGUAAAGCGAGCGCAGACGGUUACUUAAGCAGGAUGUGAAAUCCCCGGGCUUAACCUGGGAACUGCGUUCUGAACUGGGUAGCUAGAGUAUGUCAGAGGGGGGUAGAAUUCCACGUGUAGCAGUGAAAUGCGUAGAGAUGUGGAGGAAUACCGAUGGCGAAGGCAGCCCCCUGGGAUGAUACUGACGUUCAUGCUCGAAAGCGUGGGUAGCAAACAGG
This 759-nucleotide ribosomal RNA is filed under the name uncultured Eikenella sp. Its description in RNAcentral is "bacterial SSU rRNA". It matches the Rfam family "Bacterial small subunit ribosomal RNA", at positions 28 to 776 of the family's 1533-position model. The record is from RNAcentral. Lineage: Bacteria; Pseudomonadati; Pseudomonadota; Betaproteobacteria; Neisseriales; Neisseriaceae.